GGUGGCUCAGUGGUAGAGUGCUUGCUUUGCAUGCAUGAGGCCCUGGGUUUGAUUCCCCAGCACCA
This 65-nucleotide transfer RNA is filed under the name Dipodomys ordii (Ord's kangaroo rat). It matches the Rfam family "tRNA". From Rfam's summary of the family: Transfer RNA (tRNA) molecules are approximately 80 nucleotides in length. Lineage: Eukaryota; Metazoa; Chordata; Mammalia; Rodentia; Heteromyidae. The record is from Rfam by way of RNAcentral.